AUUGAACGCUGGCGGCAGGCCUAACACAUGCAAGUCGAGCGGAUGAAGGGAGCUUGCUCCUGGAUUCAGCGGCGGACGGGUGAGUAAUGCCUAGGAAUCUGCCUGGUAGUGGGGGAUAACGUCCGGAAACGGGCGCUAAUACCGCAUACGUCCUGAGGGAGAAAGUGGGGGAUCUUCGGACCUCACGCUAUCAGAUGAGCCUAGGUCGGAUUAGCUAGUUGGUGGGGUAAAGGCCUACCAAGGCGACGAUCCGUAACUGGUCUGAGAGGAUGAUCAGUCACACUGGAACUGAGACACGGUCCAGACUCCUACAGGAGGCAGCAGUGGGGAAUAUUGGACACUAGGCGAAAGACUGAUCCAGCGAUGCGGCGUGUGUGAAGAAGGUCUUCGGAUUGUAAAGCACUUUAAGUUGGGAGGAAGGGCAGUAAGUUAAUACCUUGCUGUUUUGACGUUACCAACAGAAUAAGCACCGGCUAACUUCGUG
This 484-nucleotide ribosomal RNA is filed under the name uncultured bacterium. Its description in RNAcentral is "partial 16S ribosomal RNA". It matches the Rfam family "Bacterial small subunit ribosomal RNA", at positions 30 to 507 of the family's 1533-position model. The record is from RNAcentral.